GAUGAACGCUGGCGGCGUGCCUAAUACAUGCAAGUCGAGCGAACGGACGAGAAGCUUGCUCUUCUGAUGUUAGCGGCGGACGGGUGAGUAACACGUGGAUAACCUACCUAUAAGACUGGGAUAACUUCGGGAAACCGGAGCUAAUACCGGAUAAUAUUUUGAACCGCAUGGUUCAAUAGUGAAAGACGGUUUUGCUGUCACUUAUAGAUGGAUCCGCGCUGCAUUAGCUAGUUGGUAAGGUAACGGCUUACCAAGGCAACGAUGCGUAGCCGACCUGAGAGGAUGAUCGGCCACACUGGAACUGAGACACGGUCCAGACUCCUAAGGGAGGCAGCAGUAGGGAAUCUUCGGCAAUGGGCGAAAGCCUGAUACAGCAACGCCGCGUGAGUGAAGAAGGUCUUCGGGUUGUAAAGCUCUUUUAUUGGGGAAGAACAGAUGUGGAAGAAUAUCUGGCUGUUUUGACGGUACCUAAAGAAAAAGCAACGGCUAACUACGUG
Molecule: ribosomal RNA, 497 nt
Filed under: uncultured bacterium
Lineage: Bacteria
Description: partial 16S ribosomal RNA
Rfam family: Bacterial small subunit ribosomal RNA
Source: RNAcentral